RNAcentral lists this ribosomal RNA (496 nucleotides) under uncultured bacterium. Its description in RNAcentral is "bacterial SSU rRNA". It matches the Rfam family "Bacterial small subunit ribosomal RNA", at positions 33 to 507 of the family's 1533-position model. The record is from RNAcentral.
ACGCUGGCGGCGUGCUUAACACAUGCAAGUCGAACGGGGCGAAGUGAUAGCUUGCUAUUAUGGAGCCUAGUGGCAAACGGGUGAGUAACGCGUAGGCAACCUGCCCUUCAGAUGGGGACAACACCUCGAAAGGGGUGCUAAUACCGAAUGACGUUUCCUGGUCGCAUGACCUGGAAACCAAAGGCCGGGCAACCGGUCACUGAAGGAUGGGCCUGCGUCUGAUUAGCUAGUUGGUGGGGUAACGGCCCACCAAGGCGACGAUCAGUAGCCGGUCUGAGAGGAUGAACGGCCACAUUGGGACUGAGACACGGCCCAAACUCCUACGGGAGGCAGCAGUGGGGAAUCUUCCGCAAUGGGCGCAAGCCUGACGGAGCAACGCCGCGUGAGUGAAGAAGGUUUUCGGAUCGUAAAGCUCUGUUGAGAGGGACGAGAGAUAUAAUCAGGAAAUGGGUUAUAGAGGACGGUACCUUUCGAGGAAGCCACGGCUAACUACGUG